This 232-nucleotide unclassified non-coding RNA is filed under the name Hevea brasiliensis (rubber tree). Lineage: Eukaryota; Viridiplantae; Streptophyta; Magnoliopsida; Malpighiales; Euphorbiaceae. The record is from RNAcentral.
AGUACGGGCAACUGUCUGUUUCAUUUCCUCCACUUUGACCAUAAUUUCUGACUCUCUAUUGUCAGCGUCUUCUUUGACUUUUUCAACAUGUUUCUCCAGAUCUUCCAAUACCUUCAUCUUAUUGAUAACUGAUUGCAUUGCUGAGAACAGCGUUACCUUGUUGCUUUUAGCAUCCUCAAUGAUCUCGUCAAGAAGAUCAAUACUACAUGGUUGGCCUGACUGAGUGAUUGUG